Long non-coding RNA from Alosa sapidissima (American shad), 1097 nucleotides. RefSeq lists it as uncharacterized. The transcript has 4 exons. NCBI's taxonomy places the organism in Eukaryota, Metazoa, Chordata, Actinopteri, Clupeiformes, Clupeidae. The record is from RefSeq and is a predicted model, not a curated record.
CUAUAAUGACUGAUAAACCAAUGUUGAUUUAAUCAAGAAACAAGGCUUCAAAUGAAAUUGACGUCAAACUAUAUGAGAACCAAUAAUGUUAAUAAUCAGAAUAGUAGUAAUAGCCCACUUGGCUACUAUGUUUUGACACUUCUACAAAAUCAGUUUGGUAGUCAUUUUAAUGUAACUAAAAUGCCAAAAGGCCGAAUAAUUUCCACGAUUCCAUAUGCUUUGCCUCUUGAUGAGCGCAUGCGCACACACAUCAAUACCCAUCCCCCACCCGACUGACUUUUCAAAAUUUCAACCAACUCCCUGCCACUGGUGGUGACUUCAACCGUCACUUUUCUGUCAUGCAUCUGACUGCAAGCUGUACAAACUCUGCCGUCAUCAUAUCCAAGGCAGUGAGUUGUGAGGACUGCUUCCCUGAGAACACUGAGUGCAUUCUGGAAUAUUCCAAAAGUGUGCCACUUCCAUACAAAAGAAGUUCCAAUCACUCACCAGUGGGCUCCAUCAACAGACCAGGGCAAAGUCGGUCUGUCCUGCUACUACUACACGCUACUUGACUAUGUCUGGAAGCCAUGGCUGCUGCCCUCAACAUGCUGUGUUUGUGUGUUUUGAAUGAGGGCUAUGGGGUAUGUCACUAUGCACACUAUACACAUAAUGUAUAGCAAUUGCUAUAUGUUUUAUUUUUUUAGGUGCCAUCCAGCCAGUCCCAGCCUGCAGCCAGAGGCUGGCACUGCACGUCAGAUGGGGGAGGAUCGGCAUCAGAAAGGUGGUUUAAGCAAGAAGGCAAGAGCUUCUGCAGACAGUGUUGCAAUUAGACACCUGACUUUUACUGCCAAAGGGACCAUCAGAGCACCUCUCCCUACCCUGCCGGACAUCUAUACCAGAAGAGUACGAACAAGGGCCCAAAAUGUUUUAAAGGACAUUUCACGCCCAGACCAUGGACUGUUUAAACCACUGAGGUCAAACAGAAGUCUCGGUUCUCACUCGAGGCAGGUCAUUGAGAGGGGGCGAGUGUCACUGUGUAAGCCCCCUACUGCAGGCGAGAAAGCCAUCUUGAUUUGAAUAUUGAUUGAUAAAUACAAUAAAGGCCAUGUAACAAAUUG